Molecule: long non-coding RNA, 762 nt
Organism: Salvia miltiorrhiza (redroot sage)
Lineage: Eukaryota; Viridiplantae; Streptophyta; Magnoliopsida; Lamiales; Lamiaceae
Exons: 2
Source: RefSeq, a predicted model, not a curated record
UUGGACAACUUGUGGAUUGCCUAUUUUACCCCUCUCCAUAUUUUAUAUUAUGUAUAGUUAUAAAGUAUUUAAUAUUAGAUUAAGCACGUUCCUUUAUGUUUAUUGGAAUUAAUUAUAAAAGAAUCCUAAUUCAACUCAAACAUGGAAGUAGUGACGGAAGUUUCUAUUAGAUUACUCCUAAUAUAAUAUUCUACUUAAAUUUCUUUUUCAUUCUUAUCAUAUUCUAUUAGAUUACUCCUAAUCUAACCUCAUCGUCACUUCUUUUCCUCUUCAACAUCUUGCUCUCUUUCGUGCUUCGCUCCGUCGGCGCUGCGCUCCGAUCAGCAAUUUCUUGCCUGGUCUACCAGCGUCGUGCAUUCGUAAGCAAUAAGAUUUUGUUGUUCUCCUCCCGUCUACACCAGCUCCGAUCAGGUUCUCCUCACUCGCUGCUCUGAGCCUCCAGUCUACCGUGCUCUCUUUCGUGCUUCACCUCCGCUCUUAGUCUUUCUCCGGUUGCCGCCUCCCCUCUUCGAAGGCCGUUUUAGAAUGAAGGCAUGUCUAAAUUGUUGCUAAACCUCAACUAAAUGAGGUUUAGCAAUACAAAAAUGUCAUCUCAAUAUUUCCGAGCUUCAAUUCUGUUCAAACGCAGAAGAUAAAGAAAAACGCAACAGAGAAAGAAAAUCAGAGGCGGAUAUGUUGUGGAUUUCUAUUACAAUUCUAAUUCUAAUAUUGUGGAUUUCUAUAUAUCACAAGUCUUUGAUCUAUUAAAUUAUUUUAUUCUUA